RNAcentral lists this ribosomal RNA (327 nucleotides) under uncultured eukaryote. RNAcentral describes it as "partial 18S ribosomal RNA". It matches the Rfam family "Eukaryotic small subunit ribosomal RNA", at positions 1470 to 1796 of the family's 1831-position model. The record is from RNAcentral.
CCCUUAGAUGUUCUGGGCCGCACGCGCGCUACACUGACGAAUGCAACGAGCUUAUAACCUUGGCCGAAAGGUCUGGGUAAUCUCCAAAUUUCGUCGUGAUGGGGAUAGAUUAUUGCAAUUAUUAAUCUUCAACGAGGAAUGCCUAGUAAGCGCAAGUCAUCAGCUUGCGUUGAUUACGUCCCUGCCCUUUGUACACACCGCCCGUCGCUCCUACCGAUUGAAUGGUCCGGUGAAGCGUUCGGACCGUGGCCUUUGGACGGUUCGCCGUCUGUUGGCUGCGGGAAGUUCGUUAAACCUCAUCAUUUAGAGGAAGGAGAANUCGUAACA